Mytilus californianus (California mussel) is the source of this 641-nucleotide long non-coding RNA. RefSeq lists it as uncharacterized. The record is from RefSeq and is a predicted model, not a curated record. NCBI's taxonomy places the organism in Eukaryota, Metazoa, Mollusca, Bivalvia, Mytilida, Mytilidae. The transcript has 4 exons.
UUUGCAACCAUUACUAUCUAAAGCAAAAUGAAGUCUCUAGUCGUUUUAAUUUCGACUUUACAAAUAGUUAUUGUUUCCAGUUUAAAUGAUGCGUAUUUCAGAAACUGGAUGCAGUGGCAACUGACUGACAGAAAAUUGAAGACGAAUAGCAUUUUGAAUGUCUUGACUGCUAUUUCCAAAAAAGUUAAUUCUAUUGAGUCUGAUCAAGGGGAUAAAAAUGGUUAUAUCGGAUGUUUUCUUGAUGAUAGCAGUCGUCAGUUACCAUAUAACUAUAAAAACUUAGGCGAAGGGAUUACCUUGGCAAAGUGUCGGGAAAACUGCAAAGGUUACAAAUACGUCGGCCUACAAUAUAGAGUUCAGUGCUUUUGUGGAAAUCGGCUGGAAAAGACAAGAUAUAAACAGAAACCGGAAUCCGAUUGCAACAUGAGAUGUCCGGGAGAACUAAGUAGGAUAUGUGGAAGUGCUAAUAGAAAUUCUGUGUAUUUAGUACAGCAAUAGAGAAGCAAGAACGCAAAAGAUCAGAAAAAAACCGACCGUUCCAAUAUUCAAUUAAAAUCGUCGAAACUUAUACACUAUUUAUCUUUAUUUAUUGAACUAUGAAGUUACACUCCUGUUACUGUUAUGUUUAUGGAAACAUUCAU